RNAcentral lists this ribosomal RNA (408 nucleotides) under uncultured bacterium. RNAcentral describes it as "bacterial SSU rRNA". It matches the Rfam family "Bacterial small subunit ribosomal RNA", at positions 103 to 518 of the family's 1533-position model. The record is from RNAcentral.
CGGGUGAGUAACGGCGUGGGUAACCUGCCGUCAUACAGGGGGAUAACAGUUUAGAAAUGACUGCUAACACCGCAAUAAGUAUAGCGAAACCGCAUGAUUUUUGCUAUCAAAUAUUUAUAGGUAUGAGAUGGGCCCGCGUACUGAUUAGCUAGUUGGUGGGUAAAAGCCUACCAAGGCGACGAUCAGUAGCCGGCUUGAGAGAGUGACCGGCCACAUUGGGACUGAGACACGGCCCAAACUCCGUAACGGGAGGCAGCAGUGGGGAAUAUUGGACAAUGGGGGAAACCCUGAUCCAGCGACGACCCGGCGUGAGUGAAGAAGUAUUUCGGUAUGUAAAGCUCUAUCAGCAGGGAAGAUAAUGACAGUACCUGACUAAGAAGCCCCGGCUAACUACGUGCCAGCAGCAGC